This 329-nucleotide ribosomal RNA is filed under the name uncultured eukaryote. RNAcentral describes it as "partial 18S ribosomal RNA". It matches the Rfam family "Eukaryotic small subunit ribosomal RNA", at positions 1470 to 1796 of the family's 1831-position model. The record is from RNAcentral.
CCCUUAGAUGUUCUGGGCCGCACGCGCGCUACAAUGAUGAAUUCAACGAGUUUAUAACCUUGGUUGAAAAGCCUGGGUAAUCUUUUGAACUUUCGUCGUGAUGGGGCUAGACCCUUGCAAUUAUUGGUCUCCAACGAGGAAUUCCUAGUAAACGCAAGUCAUCAGCUUGCAUUGAUUACGUCCCUGCCCUUUGUACACACCGCCCGUCGCACCUACCGAUUGAAUGGUCCGGUGAAAUCUUUGGAUUGAAACUUUGGUUUGUUCACGCAAAACGCUGUUUUAAGAAGUUGAUUAAACCUUACCAUUUAGAGGAAGGUGAAGUCGUAACA